Molecule: non-coding RNA, 1384 nt
Organism: Pantherophis guttatus
Lineage: Eukaryota; Metazoa; Chordata; Lepidosauria; Squamata; Colubridae
Source: RefSeq, a predicted model, not a curated record
AAAUCAUUUUGGCUAUACAAAUUUUGCAUACUCUUUUUCAAUUGUUUAUAUGUGUAAUAUGAUGCUUAGAAGGGAAGCAGAAUAAUGAAAAAAAUGGAAGUGAGAGCAAGGCUGUUAAUGCUCACAGUAUUGACUCAAAUGCCAUUUUUUCCCAUCCCAUUUUUUUUCAGAGGGACCAAUUUCCAUUAUCUUGGCAACAAGCAAUCCUUGGGAAAUCUACCUGUUGUAGCUUGUUGCUUAAACAAGUGCUUUCUUUGGGAUACACUCAAGCUAAAAGAAUGAUGAGAGAAAGGGUCUUAGACAAAGAAUUCCAGGAUGAGGUCGACCAUAAUUGUGGGAAAUCAUUCACAAAUUUUGUAGUUAAUCCAAAUCAAUACAUGCGCAUGGCAGAAGCUACUUUGAAAUAUACUUUAAGGUUUUUCAGAAGUGGAUUGCCAUUGCCUCCUUCCUAGGGCUGAGAGGAAGUGACUGGCCGAAGGUCAUCAAGUUGGCUGAGUGCCCAAGGCAGGACUACAACUCAUGGUCUCCUGGUUUCUAACCUUGUCUCUUAAAGUCUGGCUGAUCUCUGACUCUCAAUAUGUUACAAGAAGUCAAAAUUUACUAAUGAUCACUUACCUAGAUUUCAUUUUUAAAAAGUGUCAAUAUGUAACACAAAGUUCAUUGUGACACGUGGUAAAAAACACUUUAGAAAAAGCUUUAUAAAAACUUCUGUAUUUGUUCAUAGCCUACUUUAAUGUCACACAUAUGAAUUCUACAAGCUACAAAGGCAAACUUUGGAAUCUUUAACUGCCAAAAGAAACUGCAGGUUGAAUUCUUCUGUCCAUUCUGAAAAUAGGCUAAGAAGAAGUGUUCAUAAUUCAUUGUGUGUGUCUUGAUAAAAAUUACACUACAGGCAUUCCAUGAUUCAAUGCUUCCAUUUUUGCAGGGGAUGAAGCAAUAAUAUGGGCAGGAUAUAAUAAAAUAGCAUAACAAGGCUAUAUUGAGAAUUUCAAAGACUAAAUAUUAUCUGGAGAUUUUGCCAUAAGACAGUCAUGAUAAACAGAUAUUUUACAAGAGAGCUGGCCUAAAGAGCUUUUGAGAUACUUUCCAACCAUACAAUUCCGCAUAAUAUACUGAACAGAUCUAUAAUUUUAAAAAUAUAGUCCUAAAGAAGCUAAAACUUCUUAUCUAGAGAGAGAAAAUCUGUUCACUUACUGUACCGUUUCAAUUCUCCUAGACACGAAUAAAUUCAUGCAUAAGAAAAUGUAUACUGCACUGAAGAGUUUUAUCCUUUCAGAUUUGUAACUAACUGAACUGUGUUACCAACUGAACUGUGCUACAAACUUUAAUACAACUUUAAAUGUAUUUACACAGAAAGUAAUUAAAAAAAAUCUAAACAAACCAU